UACGAAGGGGCUAGCGUUGCUCGGAAUCACUGGGCGUAAAGGGUGCGUAGGCGGGUCUUUUAAGUCAGGGUGAAAUCCUGGAGCUCAACUCCAGAACUGCCUUUGAUACUGAAGAUCUUGAGUUCGGGAGAGGUGAGUGGAACUGCGAGUGUAGAGGUGAAAUUCGUAGAUAUUCGCAAGAACACCAGUGGCGAAGGCGGCUCACUGGCCCGAUACUGACGCUGAGGCACGAAAGCGUGGGGAGCAAACAGG
This 252-nucleotide ribosomal RNA is filed under the name uncultured bacterium. RNAcentral describes it as "partial 16S ribosomal RNA". It matches the Rfam family "Bacterial small subunit ribosomal RNA", at positions 524 to 776 of the family's 1533-position model. The record is from RNAcentral.